CCUACGGGGCGCAGCAGUAGGGAAUAUUGCUCAAUGGGGGAAACCCUGAAGCAGCCAAGUAGCGUGAAGGAUGACUGCCCUACGGGUUGUAAACUUCUUUUAUAAAGGAAUAAAGUGAGGCACGUGUGCCUUUUUGUAUGUACUUUAUGAAUAAGGAUCGGCUAACUCCGUGCCAGCAGCCGCGGUAAUACGGAGGAUCCGAGCGUUAUCCGGAUUUAUUGGGUUUAAAGGGAGCGUAGAUGGGUUGUUAAGUCAUUUGUGAAAGUUUGCGGCUCAACCGUAAAAUUGCAAUUGAUACUGGCAGUCUUGAGUACAGUUGAGGUAGGCGGAAUUCGUGGUGUAGCGGUGAAAUGCUUAGAUAUCACGAAGAACUCCGAUUGCGAAGGCAGCAUAUUAAACUGCCACUGACAUUGAUGCUCGAAAGUGUGGGUAUCAAACAGGAUUAGAUACCCCUGUAGUC
RNAcentral lists this ribosomal RNA (460 nucleotides) under uncultured bacterium. Its description in RNAcentral is "partial 16S ribosomal RNA". It matches the Rfam family "Bacterial small subunit ribosomal RNA", at positions 338 to 795 of the family's 1533-position model. The record is from RNAcentral.